AAAAAUAAUAAGACGUUAUAUAAACAAACUGAUAUGCGGUGAAUAUAGCCAGUAUAAAUAAAAAAUUUCAUAAAUUUUAAACCAUACCUUUUCUGAUUCAAGCCCGACGUAUUCAAUCAUUUCAAUGUCAGAAAACUGUAUUAUUGUACCAUGAAAUUAUAUGAUUUCCAAACAUAAAUAUUACGCUGGAGUCUGCAGUCUGCACUCCCCGUGUUUAAGAGGUGGGGCUUUUGAGCAUGCUCAC
This is a non-coding RNA of Paramuricea clavata, 244 nucleotides long. The record is from the annotation of a GenBank genome assembly. Lineage: Eukaryota; Metazoa; Cnidaria; Anthozoa; Malacalcyonacea; Plexauridae.